This 239-nucleotide ribosomal RNA is filed under the name uncultured bacterium. Its description in RNAcentral is "partial 16S ribosomal RNA". It matches the Rfam family "Bacterial small subunit ribosomal RNA", at positions 524 to 761 of the family's 1533-position model. The record is from RNAcentral.
UACGUAGGGUGCGAGCGUUAAUCGGAAUUACUGGGCGUAAAGCGUGCGCAGGCGGUUCGUUAAGUCAGCUGUGAAAGCCCCGGGCUCAACCUGGGAAUUGCGGUUGAAACUGGCGGACUAGAAUCUGGCAGAGGGGGGUGGAAUUCCACGUGUAGCAGUGAAAUGCGUAGAGGAUGUGGAGGAACACCGAUGGCGGAAGGCAGCCUCCUGGGCCAGCACUGACGCUCAUGCACGAAGCG